RNAcentral lists this long non-coding RNA (7552 nucleotides) under Homo sapiens (human). RNAcentral describes it as "HSALNT0152659". The record is from RNAcentral. Lineage: Eukaryota; Metazoa; Chordata; Mammalia; Primates; Hominidae.
ACUGCCUGUCGACAUCUCAGCCCUCCAUGCUCCCGGCACAGGCAAAAAUGGCUUAACAAUCAUUAAACCACCCACUUCUUAUGGAAGGAACUGAGUUCACGACGCUACACUUUCAGGUCAGUAACAACUUUCAGAAAGCAAACAAAACCAAAAUAAGAGUCAGAAAAACCACUUCCAAUCUGGAGGGCUCCUCGCCCGAUGCUGCUGCUGCUGCGCUCUUCAAGGAGAAGCGUUUGAAUCGAUCAUUUCGUUUUCAGAGAUCCCAACAGAGCACUGAGUCAAAGAUCCAGACCAGCUAGUGAGACAAGUGGGAAAAUAUCUGGAAUUUCAAAGGAUCAUUAAUAUUUUAAAACACUGGAGAGAAACAGUAUUUUACAAAGAAACAUUUGGAGACAACCUUCUGGGACUCCUCUCCUGAUGGACUUUGGAGAUAAUGGCAGUAGCCAAAAAUUAACACCCAGAGGCAACGGAACAGGUGCCCAGAUCUGAGACUCUGAGGGUCAAGAGGCAGUGGCAGGUGUGACACCAGCAAAGCCACCCGAGAACACUGAAGAAGUUAGAGGUCCUAGAUGCAGCUGCUCCCAACUGAAGGGCUCCUGAAAACACUCGUGGUUUUAGAAGCUAAGGAAAGAGGCCGGGCGCCGUGGCUCACACCUGUAAUCCCAGCACUUUGAGAGGCCGAGGCAGGCAGAUCACCUAAGGUUAGGAGUCAAGACCAGCCUGGCCAACAUGGUGAAACCUCAUCUCUACUAAAAAUACAGAAGAAAAUUUUUAGCCAGGCGUGGUGAUGCACGCCUGUAUUCCCAGCUAUGCAGGAGGCUGAGGCAGGAGAAUCACUUCAACCUGGGAGGUGGAGGUUGUAGUGAGCCAAGAUCGCACCACAGCACUCCAGCCUGGGUAACAGAGUGAGACUCUGUCUCAUUUAAAAAAAAAAAAAAAAGAUGCUAAGGAAAGAACCUGAGCAUUUCUCUCCCCAGCCCCCACAAUAUGAAGAAUUAGGUACAAAGCACUCCAGAGCCCCGGACCUUAGGUUUGGUUUGGCAGCUGCAGCAGAAAGUGAUGGUUCCUAGUGAUACAACUCAGAAUUAAAGUAACUUGUACAUGCCAGUUUCUUAGAAAAUGAAUGAAGUUAUCAUUUUAAAAAAAGAAGAGCCUGCCCAAAAGAAACAGCAUAAGCUAACAAACACGCACCAGCGGAAGGGCUGCGUGAAGACAUGAGUGAAUGCGAGCAAAUGAGGUGGCUGCAGGCUCUCACUCGGGGCAUGAUGAAAUUUCCAAGACUGUUCUAAGAGAGCUCUUCAGAGAGGUCAUGUGAGAACACUGAAAACAGGCCGAUUCAACGGAGCCAAUUAUUCACUGGAUUUAUUAAUUCUUAAAAGAGAAAGGUUAGCAUGGAUUUAUAGCUCUAACAGGAAGUGGGAGGUAGAGAAGCCCACUCACCUCCCUCUCCAGACUCAGGGAAGGGAAUGAGAAGGUGCCACACAGAGCCCUGGCAGGACCGAGGGCCACACAGGCUGCCUGGCCGCCGUCCCAGACCUGUGGCCACAUGAGAUUUAGGUUUCGAUGUGGCACAGCUUCAAAUGGAUACACGAGGGGAUAGUCAUCUUCUGUGAGAAACAGUGGCACCUUUUCCCAAAGACAAAUAGUUAAGACAUCACUCCUAUUUUUUCAGCUGCCCCAAGUAAUUGCUCUUUUGACGUUUUUGAAAAAGUUCCCCAAAGCUGAAGAGCCUCUCAGUAAAACCAAAAAUCAAAAGCACCAAUUAAGCGCAAAGCGAGUUUGGGUGGAGUCUUCAUCCUGGAUGCCAAGGAACAUGAAAAUGGAAGGUCAAGUUCCCAUGUGCCGCAGAGAUGAUGACAAACCAGUAGGAACUGGUAAACCUGCUACGUUGCAGGUCGCUCAUGUCUAUUAGAAGAGAUCGUUUUUACCAGGAGGACAGAAACAGGACUGCAUGGGCUGCCAACACCAGGCAACGAUGAAAAGGUGCCCCCUUCUACUCCUGAGCCAUCUAUCCCCACUUCCACUCCUGGGCUAUUUAUUCUCUCUUCAGAUGGGAUCUGUUUUCAGAAUACUUUAAAAAUGACAUGUCCACUUCAUGAGAAAUAUCCAAAGACAACAGAGUCACCGACGUGGCCACAGAACACAUUGGUUUCCUUGUGAAAUUCUGCCUACACUCACUGAAGACAGUGACGACAGUGAAAGAACUAGUGCCUCGGGUGUGGGCUGUGGCCAAGAGGACAAAGAGUCACUAGGUAGAGAAGGAUCUUCAAACUCUCUGGUUAUCUCAUUUCUACCAUCACAUUCAUUUGCAGCUAAUCGUCCAGCAAUGAUGCUGUAUCUGAUAUACACCUAGAAAAAUGUCCUCCAAGUCCUGACAGCCAGCUUUGGAAAUUCUUAACUUAAAACUUUCCCAUAUCAUGACCCAGAGACCAUACUUCCAGUGUUGAGAAUUACUUCUAAAAAACAAAACAAAAGCCUACAUUAAAAUGGUCCAGAUUUUCUUAGAUAAUGAACAAGGAAUACACAUUUGAUGAAUUUCCCAUCACAGAGACUCUACUUUCUCCUAAUUUCAUGUCAGUCUCCAGAGGUAGGGUCCAAAUAUUAAACUGGAAAACAAACGCUUGCAACUUUUCAGAAGAGUAGGAUUCUUUUCUCACCUUUUAACACUGCUUUUCCUUGAAGCAGAUCUGGUGGUUCUUUUAGUAAUGCCUGCACUGCCAGAAAUGUUAGGUUCAGAUGUUUUACAGCUCUGAACACUGGAUUGAAGAAUUACUCUGAAAAUAGUUGGAAAAAAAUAAGAUUAUAUUCACUGAAACCAUUUGCAAAUACUUGACAGAGGAAAGUAUUUUUGCACUUUAGUGCAAAUUAUCUUGAGAAUUGAGAGGAUUUUCCAUCAACACAUUUACCAAAAAAAUCUGAAACACAUUUUCACAUCAAGGCCUUUUAAAAUGAAGCAUCUCGUUUCUCUUUGAAGGUUACACAAAGACAACCAGAGGGCUUUGCUCCUGGAAGGCGAAUGACUUGGCAUUUUAAGCAAUUCCCACACCAAAGAAAUCCACCAGCUAAAGAAAUCUUUGUGCCCAACAAAAGUAGAAGUAGCUUCUCAGACUUUCAGUCAUGAAACAAGACACCAUUAAGAGCUCAAAUUCUAAAGAAUAGGAACAUAAAUUUAGGAAAUAACUAUACAAUAUUCACUCUUCAAAGCUGUAAGUAUGGGUAAUAAUCCACUAAAUCAAUACUAAUUUUAUAUAACGUUUCAAAAUUUUAGAAAGUGUUUAAGCAAAAUAUGAGUUUUGCCUGAAUUAUAUAUAACACUUACUAAAUCUCCAAGUGCCACUAAAAUGAAAGUGAAAACACUUAAAUUUUGUAAAGCUUGCCUUAAUUAAACUCUAAAAAGCUUGAGAAACUGGUGCAUAUGAGAGUAGGCUGCCCAGGAGGAAGCACACGAUGAAUCAGAAAAGAACAUCCUGAGAUAAAGGCCACACGGAAUGUCCUUUAAGAGGCAGAUGGUCCUUUGGUUUUUUUUUUUCUUUCCUCUUUAAAUUGUUAUAGGGAAAACAGCAGAAGACAUCAAAAGAUUUUAUAUGCAAUUCUUUUUUUUUUUUUUUGAGAUGGAGUCUUGCUCUGUCGCCCAGGCUGGAGUGCAGUGGCGUGAUCUCGACUCACUGCAACCUCUGCCUCCCAGGUUCAAGCGAUCCUCCUGCCUCAGCCUCCUGAGUAGCUGGGACCGCAGGCGCCCACCACCUCACCUGGUUAAUUUUUGUAUUUUUAGUAGAGAUGAGGCUUUGCCAUGUUGGCCAAGCUGGUCUCGAACUCCUGAUCUCAGGUGAUUCGCCCACCUCACUUACUCCCAAAGUGCUGGGAUUACAGGUGUGAGCCACCACACCAGGCCUAUAUGCAAUUCUUUUCUUCAAGAGAUAAUCAAUGACAAACUAAACACAUAUACACACAUUUAUAGAUACCAACUUUUAAUUCUCUGAAAGAGAAAAUACUGACUUAACAAGCUUUCUUCUCUCCUAUUCAAACAUAAAGGUGAGAAAGCCAAUAACAACUUAUGAGAACCCAGCUCAAAGGAGUAAAAAGUUGAACCAUUACAAUUAGUGAGCAUCCCACCUCACGGGCCUCAGCUACCACCAUGCUGGCUAAUAUACCAAAGACAGGGCCUUAAAAUAGGCUAAGAUUAAUAAAUUUCUACAACCUUAGCAUGACCCAAACCAAAGCAUAUCCAACAUUUAGUAAAAUGCUAAACAUCUCAUCACUAAAAAAGCAACAAGAGGCUGGGCACGGUGGCUCACACCUGUAAUCCUAGCACUUUGAGAGGCCGAGGUGGUUGGAUCACGAGGUCAGGAGUUCAAGAGCAGCCUGGCCAAGAUGGUGAAACCCCGUCUCUACUAAAAAUACAAAAAUUAGCCGAGUGUGGUGGCAGGUGCCUAUAAUCCCAACUACUCAGGUGGCUGAGGCAGGAGAACUGCUUGAACCUGGGCAGCAGAGGUUGUAGUGAGCCGAGAUCGUGCCACUGCACUCCAGCCUGGGCCAAAGAGCGAGACUCCGCAACCAGAGCAUAACCUGGAGCUUGUCUGGGCCAGCGGUCCCAAGCCUUCUGGGGAGAAGGGGAUGGGCAGCUUUCCCCACUAUUUCACUUUACUCAUGCAGGAUUUCUGAGGGCCCCAUGAAACUAGCUUUCUGUCUCACAGAGGGACAUGAAUCCUGGAUAAAUCAGCCAAUGUUUGGUUCAGAAAUUCUCCUAGAGUGUGAUCAUCUGAUAUGUUGAAUGUUCUAACAAAAUAGAAAAAGGAGGUGGUUGCGGUGGCUUAUGCCUGUAAUUCCAGCACUUUGGGAGACCAAGGCAGGAGGAUCACUUGAGGCCAAAAUUUCGAGACCAGCCUGGACAUUUUAAGCAAUUCCCACACCAAAGAAAUCCACCAGCCAAACAAGUCUUUAUGCCCAAAAGUAAAAGUAGCUUCUCAGAUUUUCAGUCAUGAAACAAGACACCAUUAAGAAGCCCAAAUUCUAAAAUAUAGUGAGACAUCCUCUCUAUAAAAUAAUAAUAAUAAUUAGCCGGGCGUGGUGGGGCGUGCCUUGGUUCCAGCUACUUGGGAGGUUGAGGUAGGAGGAUCACUUGAGCCUGGGAGGUCAAGACUGCAGUGAGCCAUGUUUGUGUCACCGAUCUCCAGCCAGGUGAUAGAGACUUUGUAUAAAAAAAAAAAAGAAGAGUGUAUAUGCAUCUUAAUUGUAUGAUUAAAGACAACUAUUACCCUGGCUUGUGAAUUCUACUUCUAAAAACAAGGAAUUGUUUUUAAAAUUUUUUUUCUUUUUUUUUUUUUUUUUAAGAGACAGGGUCUCACUCUGUUGCCCAGGCUGGAGUGCAGUGGCGCAAUCAUAGCAGCCUCAAAUCCUGGGCUCAAUUGAUCCUCCUACCUCAGCCUCCAGAGUAGUUGGGACCACAGGUACAUGCCACCACACCCAGCUAAUUUUUUCAUUUUUUAUUUUAUAGAGAUGGGGUCUCGCUAUGUUGCCCAGGCUAUUCUCAAAAUUCUGGCCUCAGUGAUUCUCUUUCCUCGACCUUCCAAAGUGUUGGGAUUUAUAGGCAUGAGCCAGUCUGCCCAUCCCUAAAAAUUAUUUGUUUAUAUAAAGUGAUGGGGAAAUAUUUAUUCAUCUCUGCUAAGAAUUUGAAUAUAGAAUUUUGCAUAAAACCAAACAAAACAAAACAAACUGCUGCUGCUUCAUUGCUACUUCUGAAGCCCAGGCCGGGGCACUCGUGCUGCCACUGUUCUCAUCCGCUCCCCUCGGCCACUCCCUUACGCACGGAGAAAACAAGACUCCUGUUGGCUUUUUUUUUUUAAAUACAACACCUAAUUCUCAAAUAAUUUGAGGCCACGGUUGGCCAAAAGUACAGACAACAAUCACACUGCAAAAUAAUUAAUCUGAGAAAAAAACAAGAGCUGAUACACUGCCUGCUUAGGAAAUCUGAAUCCUGAUUUCUCAAAUUAAAACUAUGACUGAAGUGUUUAAAUGCCAUUCAAAACAAGACACUACUGCUAAAUCCUGUAGUCAUUCUCAGGCUGCUGGAAAACAUCUUUUUAAAAGUAUUUAUUUCUCUAUAAAAUUAGUGUAAAUUAAAGUGAACUAAUAUAAUAAUAAUAUUAAAUAGCUAGUAAUUUCUGUGGAACUUUAAAACCAAGAGAAUGAUAGAACUUGAGUGUAUUAACCACACCACGGAAGACUCCAGUUAUUUGCACUGACAACACGGUAUUUAUCCUAACUGCAGGUUAUGCACUGAUGAAAUCGGGGUUGGGGGAGAACUCCACUGAGCUAUCAUGAGUGACAGCACACACCACCUGACAGGCACCAGAGGGUGACGUGUUGCCUCUGUCACAGGGAACCCGGGCACUCGCGGCCUUCUGCCUUCCAACCCAGGCCAAGCAUGGCUUUGCAGAGCAGUGUGCAGCAGAUGUAUUUUCUUCCUUCCCAUCUGCCCUGACAAAAUCCUCCAUCCUACCUACCUCUUGCCUAUAUUCCAGUUCACCUUCUUCUCUGCAGCAUCCUUGGAGCCUCGGUACUCUGAGAUUUCAGAUAUAGUGAAAUCUGCAACCCAAGGAACACGGCAAAGCCAAAAACUAAAAAGCCAGGUCUCGAACAUAAAUGUCCAAUUCCAAGAAAAAAAUCCAUCAGGGCAACUAUGCACUAUGUAUACUGGCUGUCCACUCCGGACACCACAAGAGCGUGCACAAAGGUGACCCUGAGGCCCUGCAGCCUCCAGAGAAGGCUUUCCCACUAUCUCUGAGUCUGACUCAGAAGCCUGAAGUGUUGUUAUGGCCUAAUUCUCCAGGCAUGCUGCAUAACAGGAGCUUUUCACUGGAAACAACUUAGCAGACGAUGCCACACCACCUGCGUCCACUGCCAGCAGAGGUGGGUGGUGAUGACAGAGGAUGGUGGAGCUCAGGAGUCACCACCUUACAAAUAAAACCCUUUUGAGAGAAAGACAUGGGGGUGCUACAAAGAUGAUACUGAUUAACACCACUGUAACUGUCACAAGCUUUUUGCUUCUCAAAAUUCCAAAUAAUUAGUCAGGCUGAACUGAAUACUCUGCUUGGGUCUAGAAAUACAAUGGCAAACGUCAUUACCAAUAACAACAGAAGGUAUAGUUUACAUGGAAUACUGAAAAGAAGAGAGCCUGAUAGAGACCAUGUUUAAACUUACCCUGGGAAUGAUCAUUCAACCACAAAGUGCCUAAGCAUUAUUUGCAACUGCUCCACCCAUUCAGAACAUCUUUGCCACUUGGAACAGUUUGAGAAGAAUAACUCUAUGUAGUGCAUGAUGCUCUUGAGUCAGAAUAUGUGGCAAUCGUAGUUGACUAAGAGAAGUAAAGAAGAAAACACCCAAAAGGUUAAUCUAUCUCAGAAAUACAGCAGGUCUGAAUGCGCGACAAUAAGCUUUUAUUUGUAAGAUAUUCAAGAAAAUGCCAUAAAUAGGAGCAAGUUAAGCAGGUUUUGCCUAAUUCUGAAGAGUGAAAUCAGCUUGAUUUUUAAAUCUUUCUCAGCUAUGUGAAAAU